UUAUUCCCAGGACCGAUAAUA
Caenorhabditis elegans is the source of this 21-nucleotide non-coding RNA. NCBI's taxonomy places the organism in Eukaryota, Metazoa, Nematoda, Chromadorea, Rhabditida, Rhabditidae. The record is from Ensembl.